UUGAGGCCCCGUAAUCGGAAUGAGUACACUUUAAAUCCUUUAACAAGGAUCCAUUGGAGGGCAAGUCUGGUGCCAGCAGCCGCGGUAAUUCCAGCUCCAAUAGCGUAUAUUAAAGUUGUUGCGGUUAAAAAGCUCGUAGUUGGUUCUGCGUGCCACGCUGUCGGUUCGCCGCCUGUCGGUGUAACUGGCAUGUCGUGGCAUGUCCUGUCGGUGGUGAACGGGAUUUCCGACGUUGUGUAGGCUUUCAUAGCUGAAGCAAGUGCCGUGUAAAUGCCGUUUGCCGAUUUCUCCUACUUCGGUGCUCUUAAACGAGUGUCGAGGUAGGCCGACACGUUCACUUUGAACAAAUUAGAGUGCUUAAAGCAGGCUGAAAUAUCUGCCUGAAUAGUGGUGCAUGGAAUGAUAAAAUAGGAUCUCAGUUCUAUUUUGUUGGUUUUAAGAGUAUGAGGUAAUGAUCAAUGUGGACUGGCGGGGGCAUUCGUAUUGCGACGUUAGAGGUGAAAUUCUUGGAUCGUCGCAAGACGCACUAGAGCGAAAGCAUUUGCCAAGUAUGUCUUAAUUGAUCAAGAACGAAAGUUAGAGGUUCGAAGGCGAUCAGAUACCGCCCUAGUUCUAACCAUAAACGAUGCCAGCCAGCGAUCCGCCGAUGUUCCUAUAAUGACUCGGCGGGGAGCUUCCAACCCGGGAAACCAAAGCUUUUGGGUUCCGGGGGAAGUAUGGUUGCAAAGCUGAAACUUAAAGGAAUUGACG
Molecule: ribosomal RNA, 750 nt
Filed under: Nalata sp. 00014325
Lineage: Eukaryota; Metazoa; Arthropoda; Insecta; Hemiptera; Reduviidae
Also listed under: 1 other name
Description: SSU rRNA
Rfam family: Eukaryotic small subunit ribosomal RNA
Source: RNAcentral